This 490-nucleotide ribosomal RNA is filed under the name uncultured Levilinea sp. Its description in RNAcentral is "bacterial SSU rRNA". It matches the Rfam family "Bacterial small subunit ribosomal RNA", at positions 903 to 1382 of the family's 1533-position model. Lineage: Bacteria; Bacillati; Chloroflexota; Anaerolineae; Anaerolineales; Anaerolineaceae. The record is from RNAcentral.
GCCACGCCCGCUCAAGAAACUUAAAGGAAGUUGACGGGCCCCGCACAAGCAGCGGAGCGUGUGGUUUAAUUCGAUGCUACACGAAGAACCUUACCAGGGUUUGACAUACAAGUAGUAGGGAAAGGAAACUGGACCGACCCUUCGGGGAGCUUGAACAGGUGCUGCAUGGCUGUCGUCAGCUCGUGUCGUGAGAUGUUCGGUUAAGUCCGCUAACGAGCGCAACCCUCGCUGUGUGUUACAAGUGUCACACGGAACUGCCGGUCAUAAACCGGAGGAAGGUGGGGAUGACGUCAAGUCAGCAUGGCCUUUAUAUCCUGGGCUACACACACGCUACAAUGGGAAGGGACAAUAGGUUGCGAAACCGCGAGGUGGAGCCAAUCCAGCAAAACUUCCCUCAGUUCAGAUUGCAGGCUGCAACUCGCCUGCAUGAAGUUGGAGUUGCUAGUAAACGCAGGUCAGCCAUACUGCGUUGAAUACGUUCCCGGGGCUU